GUCGAGCGCAUCCUUCGGGACGAGCGGCGGACGGGUGAGUAACGCGUGGGAAUGUGCCCUUCUCUACGGAAUAGCCACUGGAAACGGUGAGUAAUACCGUAUACGCCCUAAGGGGGAAAGAUUUAUCGGAGAAGGAUCAGCCCGCGUUAGAUUAGGUAGUUGGUGGGGUAACGGCCUACCAAGCCUACGAUCUAUAGCUGGUUUUAGAGGAUGAUCAGCCACACUGGGACUGAGACACGGCCCAGACUCCUACGGGAGGCAACAGUAGGGAAUCUUGGACAAUGGGGGAAACCCUGAUCCAGCCAUGCCGCGUGAGUGAAGAAGGCCUUAGGGUCGUAAAGCUCUUUCGCCUGUGAUGAUAAUGACAGUAGCAGGUAAAGAAACCCCGGCUAACUCCGUGCCAGCAGCCGCGGUAAUACGGAGGGGGUUAGCGUUGUUCGGAAUUACUGGGCGUAAGCGCGCGUAGGCGGAUUGGAAAGUUGGGGGUGAAAUCCCGGGGCUCAACCCCGGAACUGCCUCCAAAACUGCCAGUCUAGAGUUCGAGAGAGGUGAGUGGAACUCCAAGUGUAGAGGUGAAAUUCGUAGAUAUUUGGAAGAACACCAGUGGCGAAGGCGGCUCACUGGCUCGAUACUGACGCUGAGGUGCGAAAGUGUGGGGAGCAAACAGGAUUAGAUACCCUGGUAGUCCACACCGUAAACGAUGAAUGCCAGUCGUCGGGUAGUAUACUAUUCGGUGACACACCUAACGGAUUAAGCAUUCCGCCUGGGGAGUACGGUCGCAAGAUUAAAACUCAAAGGAAUUGACGGG
This 808-nucleotide ribosomal RNA is filed under the name uncultured marine bacterium. RNAcentral's name for it is "bacterial SSU rRNA". It matches the Rfam family "Bacterial small subunit ribosomal RNA", at positions 61 to 917 of the family's 1533-position model. The record is from RNAcentral.